Non-coding RNA from Ciona savignyi (Pacific transparent sea squirt), 72 nucleotides. The record is from Rfam. NCBI's taxonomy places the organism in Eukaryota, Metazoa, Chordata, Ascidiacea, Phlebobranchia, Cionidae.
GGCUCUUUGGUCUAGGGGUAUGAUUCUCGCUUCGGGUGCGAGAGGGCCCGGGUUCAAUUCCCGGACGAUCCC